UUGCAUUAAAGGGCAGAUUAUUUAUAAUAAUGUGGAAUUACAAAUGCCUUGCUAUAAAUUUCGUGUCUGAUUCACAGCUCGAGGACAUCACUGGGUGGAAAAGAGUUGGCUCACAUAGUUUAUUGAUUUUAAUGAUAUAUUAAAUUAUGAACUAGCACCUAUGCACCUCUCAGACCUGCAAUUUCCCAAAAUUAUAGCAAAAAAUUCCCAAAAUUAGGUGUAGGACUGACUGGCCCAAAAAUCCUUGAAUUUUUUGCCAUGCUGAUUAUCCAGAUCAUAUCCAACCUCUGUUCCCUCUUCUUGAGGGCAAAGAGAAUUUUCUUCCAUGGAAAACCCUCAAAUCUUGUGACAGAUGUCGAGUAAGAAAUCAGUGUCCCAAAGACAGGGGAAAAAAAACCAAAUUUAAUGAUUCUGUGGUUUGCCAAAGACCUUACAUAAAUCAGUGAAUAAACAUGAAAUAUGCACUACUUUAAAAAGAUAACCGCUGUUUUUUUUCAUGAUUUCAUAACUAAAUGGAUCUCUGAGCAUGUGUUACCUUUUUUAUGAGCUUUUAAAGCUUCCAACCUCACCAAGGCACAGCAACCAGCAGCCCAAAGCCAACAGGACCAUUAGAGACCUAAAAAUCAGAACUCCCAAUAUCAAAUUUGAACCCAGUAAAAAAAGCACUGUGCCAGAACAGAUCCAUAAAGCACAUUUCAACAACAAGUUACAGCUGCUGCCCCGUAUUUAUAGCUUUGGGACAAAAAAAAAAAUAAAAAAAAAAAUAGAAAGCAGAACACAACAGACUGGAAAGAGCAGAAAGGAUUGGAAACAGCAAAUUUGUCAAUGUUUUUCCUUGCUGCUGCGUCGCUGCUGCUUUAGAUUAGCCCUGUCCCCUGCAAUUUGACAGUAGCGCCGUGAACCUGCAGCGUGAGGAUCCCGGGCUAAGAUAGGGAGAGAGGAGGAGGAAUUCAGGGAAUGUUUUCCUUGGGAGCAAGCGGGGAAGCGCAGCCGCUGGGACCGGGGCUGCGGUGACAGCGCUAACACUUCCCAGAGCCGGGGACCCCGCCGCUGGAAUGGCAUUGCCCACCCUGAAAGUGAGAAGCUCAAAGGGACAGAGGAAAAAAUCUGGGGGAGCAGAUAGCUGAAAAACCACUGUGCUAAAAAACCCCUAAAAAUCAGGAUUUUCCCUUAUGGACUGAAAGAAGCCCUAUUAAAAUCCUAUCUUCUGGAAAGCGUCAGAGAGGCAGGAGCGUAGACGUUUGCUUCCUGAGGAAGUAUUUUUAGCUUCUGAAUGAAACAAGUCACGGACAAAAAAAAAGGUAAUUGUGCUUGCAAGUAAGUAUUUAAAUAUUUACAUUUGAAAUAUAUUUGCUGCCAGCUUCUGUUAGCGAGAAGAAAAGUAAUUUGGGAAAUCACAACCCUUCCUAUUUCCCACAUUUUUUAGGAUAAUAAAUGCGGGGCUGAAUUUAGCAUGCCCUGGAGCUCGGCUGGCCGAAGUCGAAGGCAAAGAGGGAGCUGGGGAUAAUUCAUGGAACAAAGAUGCUGCUGGGGAGGGGGACCUGCAGAGCUUGGGAGGUGCUGGGGAUGAAGAUGAGUUUCCUUUGGGGCGGGAAGCGCCUGGAUCGCCCGGAGCAGCUGCUCCCGGCAUGUGGAACCAGGCUGCGGCCACCGGCCGAGCUGACUUCUCAUGUGCUGACCUCCAGAUAUGGUGGAUCUGCUCAUCCUCACAGGCUGGCAGGCUCAGGGCCUGAGUCAUGUUCCCCAAACCCUCCAGCACGUGGAGAUGACGCUCGGGGUCACGGAUGAGCUGCCUUGCCCUGUGUCCCAGCCUACACUCCAUGUGAAACCACGCUGGAAAAUCCAGGAUGCGUUGGGGCGUCAGAGGGAUGAGUAAGAAGGGGGUGUCAUGAAGCCAAGGGGAGAUGAUUGCUGUAGAUGCCAGCCCUGGGUCGGGACAUCACCCCCAGCACCUUCUGCAGGUGUUGCAGGUGGCCGCCCCCCUGCACAUUUGCAUAAUUGUUAAUUCAUUUUUAUUGUUGCUAUUGUUUUCCUCAUGGCUUCGAGGGGUUUUAAGGAAAAUUUCCACCUCCUGAGCAGAAUGAGGAAGGAGCUCACUGUGGCCACACAAGAUCUGAAACCAAGGGGGUGUUUUGGGUCCUUCCUGGUGAGAAUCUUCACAUUUUUCAGAUGUCAAGAAGCCACCAAGGUGUCUUCCAAAGCAAUGCAUCAGGUGUGCAGGUCACACCCCACCACGUGCUCAGGACAGGGACUCCCUGUCACCUGAGCCAGCAGCACUGCCACAGCAGCUGAGUUCUGAAGGGAUUUUGGUGCUUCCUGAUGCUCCCUUGGACUCUGAGGGAGCUCAGUCUUGCUUAGAUCAUUGUCCAGAGCCUUGAGCUGCUUGCAGCAGUUUCUCCUUCUCUAAGAAGUGGGACAGAUGUGGGAUGGGACCCUUCUGUGUGACCACAGAUAAAUGUUUGGGAAGCCUGGUGAGAGCCUCUCAUGGGAGCUUCAAGGAGAGUCCAAAGUAUUAUCCACAAACCUGGCCAAAGCAGAUUAUAUUUUAUCCAGGGAAAAUGUUUCUUUUAUUACCCCCAUCCCAAUCAGCCUGCUGGGUUCCUGCUGCUGGCCAGAGGGGGCAUUUCCAUGGGCCAACAAGCCAGCUUCUCUGUUUUGCCCUUAGUUCUUUGAAUCCCAGGAUCAUUGAGGUUGGAAAAGCCUUCCAAGACCCCAAAGUCCAACCUGUGACUGAUCUCCACCUCACCAUCAGCUCUGGGUGCUCCAGUCAUACCAUGGACACCUCCAGGGAUGGGCACUCCAACCCUCCCUGGGCACUUCCAAUUCCUGAUCCCCCUUUCCAUGGGGAAAUUCCUGCUGCUGUCCACCCUGAGCCUCCCCUGGCCCAGCCUGAGGCCGUUGCCUCUCCUCCUGUCCCUGUUCCCCCCGGCUGUCCCCUCCUGGCAGGGAGCUGUGGAGACCAAGAAGGUCUUCCCUGAGUCUCCUUUCCCCCUCAGCUGCUCCUCACAGGAUGGACUCUCGGUUCUUCUCCUCUCCAGCGAGCUGAUCCCACGGUUUGGACCCUCUUUCCUUGGGAUGCCUCACUGAAUUCCUGCAGCCGAAAUCCGCACUAACCAAACAAUCCUGAUGACACACUUUGUGGUCACAUCUGCUCUCUCACCUUCCUCCUGUGACGAAAGGGAAAAACCCAAGAGCCCUCUGUGAUGACGCUCACUGCCGUUGAUUUAAUUGGGUUUGGGUAAAUCCGUUCUUCUGCAAAUGCUCACCGGGGCAAGCUGUUCCUCCUUGAGCUUGUGCAAAUAAAAUAAGGAUGCAAACAUGACUGCAAACACUGUAAGUGUGUGGUUCAUCCUGACAUCAGGUUUAGUCCUGCAACUCAGUUUCAAUUUUUGCAGUGUUUAAUAGAUGCUGUUAUGGUUUUUUUAUCCUCAGGAUUUUUAGGCCACCAAGGGAAGCCACUAG
This is a long non-coding RNA of Poecile atricapillus (Black-capped chickadee), 3462 nucleotides long. RefSeq lists it as uncharacterized. The transcript has 3 exons. Lineage: Eukaryota; Metazoa; Chordata; Aves; Passeriformes; Paridae. The record is from RefSeq and is a predicted model, not a curated record.